This 181-nucleotide non-coding RNA is filed under the name Pelosinus fermentans. Lineage: Bacteria; Bacillati; Bacillota; Negativicutes; Selenomonadales; Sporomusaceae. The record is from RNAcentral.
GUACAUAUGGAUGGUAUAGGUGCCCGUUAGGGCUUAAUAGGGAAGUUCGGUUACAUGCCGACGCGGUCCCGCCACUGUAAUGAGGAGCUUCCCCUAGUUUUACCACUGAGAUAAAAUCUUGGGAAGGUUUGAGGAAGCGAUGAUUCUAAGUCAGGAGAACUGCCUAUAUAACAAUCACCAA